RNAcentral lists this ribosomal RNA (105 nucleotides) under Bacteroides thetaiotaomicron. Lineage: Bacteria; Pseudomonadati; Bacteroidota; Bacteroidia; Bacteroidales; Bacteroidaceae. RNAcentral also lists the same sequence under 2 other names. The record is from RNAcentral.
UCAGGUGGUUAUAGCACGAGGGUUCCACCUCUUCCCAUUCCGAACAGAGAAGUUAAGCCUCGUCACGCCGAUGGUACUGCGUAACAGUGGGAGAGUAGGUAGCCG